RNAcentral lists this unclassified non-coding RNA (229 nucleotides) under Hevea brasiliensis (rubber tree). Lineage: Eukaryota; Viridiplantae; Streptophyta; Magnoliopsida; Malpighiales; Euphorbiaceae. The record is from RNAcentral.
UGCCAACUUGCAGUCGAAUGUUUAUGUUCACAAGAAAUCGCUUAUUCAAUCCAAAUACAAAGAUAAGAAAGCAUUUGUGCAACACGAUCCCUGAAGACAAAACUAGAUUGAAUCUAUCAAAGCUUAGACAUUACACCAUCGUUGUGGCAAGACUUUGCCACUGUCCCGUUUUCCUUAAUAUCUGAGUCAGACAUGCUGGGAGGAACAUCAACAGCUGGGGAGCAAUUGA